GGCCACCGUUGCCGUGGAGACGUAGAAUCCAUCAGUCAAAGCUCCUGCAAAGUCACUGAAGUGAUUUACUAGGGCGAAUUACCGCUGGAGGAGCCUGAAGGGGACUCUCAGCUGGGGAAGUUUAGUUCUAACAAAAAACGAGAUUAAGAGUGCUGAGUAAGAGUAACGCAGCCGGUCCUGAGGCAGCAGAACGCUGUGAAUCCCCGCCGUGAUCCCAGCAGACAGAGAGGAAGACGUCACCAGUAACACACACCGGACAGCAGAGACACUUUCAUUUCUCCACAUCAAGAAAUAAGCAACGCCCAGUUACAGUUGCACUUCCAUUGACCAUAUGAUUGCGCAAUUCAACUUUUCCUAAAUACAUUUGGUAAAUGGAAACGUGCCAAGUUUGAAAAACUGGAUUUUUGAUCAAACAUUUUGACCCUAGGAUGAGGUAUCGAUUCAUUUUGCAAAACUGCAACAGAAACCCUUUUCUC
Long non-coding RNA from Gambusia affinis (western mosquitofish), 476 nucleotides. RefSeq lists it as uncharacterized. The transcript has 3 exons. The record is from RefSeq and is a predicted model, not a curated record. Lineage: Eukaryota; Metazoa; Chordata; Actinopteri; Cyprinodontiformes; Poeciliidae.